UGAGUAACCUGCCCUUAACUCUGGGAUGAGCCUGGGAAACUGGGUCUAAUACCGGAUAUGACUCCUCAUCGCAUGGUGGGGGGUGGAAAGCUUUUUGUGGUUUUGGAUGGACUCGCGGCCUAUCAGCUUGUUGGUGAGGUAAUGGCUCACCAAGGCGACGACGGGUAGCCGGCCUGAGAGGGUGACCGGCCACACUGGGACUGAGACACGGCCCAGACCUCCGUACGGGAGGCAG
RNAcentral lists this ribosomal RNA (235 nucleotides) under uncultured bacterium. RNAcentral describes it as "partial 16S ribosomal RNA". It matches the Rfam family "Bacterial small subunit ribosomal RNA", at positions 118 to 351 of the family's 1533-position model. The record is from RNAcentral.